Molecule: ribosomal RNA, 231 nt
Filed under: uncultured soil bacterium
Lineage: Bacteria
Description: partial 16S ribosomal RNA
Source: RNAcentral
ACCGUUUGCUCCCCUAGCUUUCGCGCCUCAGCGUCAAUGCCGGUCCAGGAUGCCGCCUUCGCCACCGGUGUUCCUCCAGAUAUCUACGCAUUUCACCGCUACACCUGGAAUUCCGCAUCCCUCUCCCGGAUUCAAGCCUGUCAGUAUCGGACGCAGUUCCCGAGUUGAGCUCGGGGAUUUCACGUUCGACUUAGCAGGCCGCCUACGCGCCCUUUACGCCCAGUAAUUCCG